AACGAACGCUGGCGGCAUGCCUAACACAUGCAAGUCGAACGGGACCUCCGGGUCUAGUGGCGCACGGGUGCGUGACGCGGGGGAACCUGCCCUUAGGUUCGGAAUACCUCCCCGUAGGGGGUGCUAAUGCCGGAUAAUGUAUUCGGACAAAAGAUUUAUCGCUGUUGGAUGGGCCCUCGUUGGUUUAGCUGGUUGGGAGGGGACAAGCCUACCAAGGCGACGAUCCAUAGCUGGUCUGAGAGGAUGAUCAGCCACACUGGGACUGAGACACGGCCCAGACUCCGACGGGAGGCGGCAGUGGGGAAUAUUGGACAACGGGCGAAAGCCUGAGCAAGCAAGGGCGCGUGAGGGAUGAAGUCCUUAGGGUUGUAAAGCUCGUUUACCCGGGAUGAUAAUGACAGUACCGGGAGAAUAAGCCCCGGCUAACUCCGUG
RNAcentral lists this ribosomal RNA (433 nucleotides) under uncultured bacterium. Its description in RNAcentral is "partial 16S ribosomal RNA". It matches the Rfam family "Bacterial small subunit ribosomal RNA", at positions 29 to 507 of the family's 1533-position model. The record is from RNAcentral.